Long non-coding RNA from Triplophysa rosa, 7717 nucleotides. RefSeq lists it as uncharacterized. The transcript is spliced from 3 exons. NCBI's taxonomy places the organism in Eukaryota, Metazoa, Chordata, Actinopteri, Cypriniformes, Nemacheilidae. The record is from RefSeq and is a predicted model, not a curated record.
AGUUCUGUAAUUGUUUGUGUGAUCACUGUAGAAGGUUGUGACGGAACCAAAUCAUCUCUGCUACAUAGUUGCAUUUCUCCAGUUGCUAAAUAUGUUAAUGUGGUGAUUUCUUCUAUUUCUGGCGCGAUCUAAUGUGCACUUGGAUGCUCUGCUGGCGGAGUUUCUUUACCUUAACCCGGCACUGUUCCACAGAUCUAUUAAACCCCCUUUCCCUGAGUUGUUUGCUAAACAAUGAAAAUAUCUUGCUGUUCAGGAGUUUUCGAAAGUUGGGAUGUAAUAGGAAUGUGCACGAAUGUUCAAAUAUUCGAUCCGCAAUAACUAUUCAAAAAUUAAAAACCCUGCAUGAUCUAAUGUGUUGUGUCCUAUUAACGCACUGUCAUUCAAUUCAAUGUAAUUUUAUUUUAUAGCGCUUUUACAAUUUGCAUUGCAUCAAAGCAGCUAUACAAGAAAACCAAAACCAAGAUAAUCAAAAGUUGAACACACACACACAAAACAAUACAAUUAAAAAAUCUGAUAAACCUUAAAAGUAUGGAAAUUGUCAUGCAUUGCAACACAUUUCUUCUCACUUUUCGUUUUUUGUCCAUUUUCUCUGCUGCUAAAGAAACUCUUAAGUCUCUUAAAAGUCCUCCUCGCUACUCCUAAAAUGUUUGAUUUUAAGAGCUCUUUUAAGGGUUAAGGCUCUUUAUGAAUACAUUUUUUCUUUACUAUAUUUUCUAUAAUUUUAAGUGGAAACGACCACAUUUCUAAGAAUUUUCUAAGAAUUUGUCACUAGGUACGGUGGCCUACUAGUGCACAUGACAACGAAAUUUAAAAAGCAAAUAUAAGUUCACAACACAACGCAAUCAAGCCACAACACAACGGAAUCGAGUCACAACACAACGGAAUAGAGCCACAACACAACGGAAUAGAGCCACAACACAACGGAAUCGAGUCACAACGCAACGGAAAUGCUCCCGACCACUAGGGGGCACUUUAGGCAUGAUAAAUUAGGUCAUGCCGGGUAGGAGGUGCGCGUUUUGCUGGGGUUUGUUUUAGUGGUUUUGGUAGCCUGUUUUGCUUGUGUAAAGCAUUUAAAAGGAAAGUGUGCUCUACUGUGGAAAAACUGAAUGUCAAUGGCAAACAAUCUCAUAUGAACACAUUUGCACAGCGCUUUUGAAUGCUUGAUUUUGGCUAGUCAUGACAUUCUAAUGUAUGUUAUGGCCCUUUCACCAGACUUGGCAGUUGGACAGAGUUGCUGCGUUGCUGCUGUCUCUCAUAGUGAAAAUGUCUCUGGGCGGACGUUCAAGGUCACUAACCAGCCUGAAGUUGAUGUAUAUUAAUUUUUGCGGUAAUGACUAAUACUAAUGACGCUCAUUUUAGGCACAGUUUACUAUGACAUUUUGCGCGUAUAGUGUAUUUUAACUUGCAAAUCAACCCACUCUGUAUUCUUUAUUUAAAUCUCUGUAUUUGUCUUCUUUUUGUUAGGUCAUAUAACUUCGGGAAUUCCAUUAUUAAAACUAUGUUCUCCGUGUUUUGAGCUCACUAAAAUGUUGAUAGGUUAAAGCCAGCGUGGAUGCCGUUCACAAAAAGAGCGCUUGCGAAGAGUCGUGCCAGUGGAAGGAUUUUGGGCACCGCUUGCGCACCACCUCCGUGCCGCCAACGAAACCCUCGCGUUUUGCAGCUUACCGCAUGUCUCCCACUGGAAAUGAGCUAUAGACAUUCACGACUGCCGCUCAAAACUAAUAACAGAGGAUAAUCCCGGUGCUUCGAAUCACCUUUACACAAACAUCAUAUAUACUGUAAAUACACCAUAAGAUUAUAUUUGCAUUGCAUUGUCGCCUAUUUGCAUUGGCAUUCUGCCUUAACAACCAGCAUAUGAGUUUAACUCCGCUGCUUCAAUAUAGCUAGCCUACAUAAUUUGGAUUGAAAGAAUGAAUUCCAAAACCUCGACCGACAUAUCGUAGACUCGUAGAGUUUUUUUUUAACUGUGCAUAUGUGUUUAAAUGAUUUUAAAUGCUAGAAACUGUAUUGUGAGCUAUACAUUGGUCGUAUUUACAAUAGGCUAAGCGUGUAAAUGAAAUGAUUUCUUUAACGUUGAAAUUAAAGAAUUAAAUGAAAAUAUGUUUUUCAUGCUUUGCUUCUAUUGUGUGUAUAUGAAUUGAAAUAAUCAAGACUUUAAAUGACUACGGCCAAAAACGAUUUAAUCAAAAAUUAAACGAUGAGCAUUGAAAGGAAAAUAUUUAGUUUUUUUAUUUUAUUGUAUUACUUAUUUUCUUUGGUAAAUGCAGAACAACAAACAGCAAUGAUGUGCAUUAAAAACAAAUUCCUUGAUUACACCAUCUUUAGCUAAAUAUUGUCAAACGGAAUACGGAAAUAAAUGGCUGUGUCCACAUUUAUUUAUGAUUGUAUGCAUUAUUUAACCUUUGGUUAAAUAAUUUAUAUUUACCAUGCCAUUUAUAUUUGCCUUAAUUUAUAUUUACCAUGGCCACCUGCCACUGACAUUAUGAAUGCACUUGAAACGAUGAGGAACAAGACAGGAAAAUUUUGAGAAAAUCUGACAAAAUACAACUGAAUAAGCUAUUAUUGGGAUAUUAUUAUAUAGAUGUUUUUAAAUGACAAACACGGCUGUUUUCAAGGAAAAUACACGUUUUAUUAUUUACAAAUGCAAAUUAUUUACAAAAAACACACAGCAGCAGGUGCAAUUACAACGAAACGUUUUCCUUCAUGAAAAAGGAUAGCCAUCUUAAGCUAAAUAUUGUCAAUCGAAAAUAAAAGCUAUAGUUUACGCUGUGUGUGUGUGUGUGUGUGUGUGUGUGUGUGUGUGUGUGUGUAAGGGUACAGAAGAACAUACAGUCUUGUUUUAAACAUGGCUAAGCAAUCAAAUUUCGAUCCAGCGAUCAAAACACGUUGUAUUUUUUAUUAUUAUUUUGAUUAAAGUACUUUUCAACUUUAAAGGUCUUUGCACAUACAGUCCGAAAUUGUCGUAUGCGUUUUUUCGUAUUUGGCUCUCGUUUGUACUGUGUCUCUGAAUGGUUAAAAAAGGCCACUCAAAAUGCUUGACGGAUGCGAAAAACGCAGAAAAUCGAACCUGGUCCGAAUUUUUUUAUGACGGACGAAAAUAUCGGAGGCAGUGUGUAAAUGUGAUUGACACAACGUGAGGUCGUAUUUAUUUUUUAACGUGCGGAAAUUUCGGACGCAAAUUUCGGACUCAAUGUGCAAUGGGCUUAAGUCUGCAUUUAGAUCCAGACAAUGCCACAGUCUCCUAUCUCAGUUUCAGUGAGCAAGCUCUGGACUUAAGUCUGCGUUCGUUUUUUUACUGUUACGAAUAAUUGAUCACUCUAUUAAAUAUUGUUUUCAUUACCAAUUUAUUUAACCUUUAUUAUGCAUGCAUAACCUCUAAAACAAUUAACGCAUAACCAAGUGUAAAUAAACGUGAGCAUUGCGGUUUUAUGACUAACGAAACGGGAAUAUAAUGCAAGCUUGCUCAUCUAUAUCAGUAAAUAGAUCAAUAGAUUUGUUGGUUUAGCAGAAAGUCCAGUCGUCAUCAGUAAUUUAAUGUGUUAAUGUGUAUAGUGGUCUUAAGCAGUCGUGUGCUGUUUUCUGACUAGAAUCCGCUCCAGUUGAAAGAAAAAGUCUUAGAAUGUUUGUCCUCGGCUUUAAUAAUCAGCGUGAAAAUCCUUAAUGCUCUCCCGGAUCUCUCUCCCGCUGCUGUCUGCACUGAACCAAGCACGGAAGUGCCGAAUGUGCCCAUAAAAAUAUAGAACAAUAAUAAGAACUUUGGUGCCCCCUAGUGGUCGGGAGCAUUUCCGUUGUGUUGUGGCUUUAUUCCGUUGUGUUGUGGCUUUAUUCCGUUGUGUUGUGACUCGAUUCCGUUGUGUUGUGGCUUUAUUCCGUUGUGUUGUAGCUUGAUUGCGUUGUGUUGUGAACUUAUAUUUGCUUUUUAAAUUUCGUUGUCAUGUGCACUAGUAGGCCACCAUAACUAGGAACGCAAGCACAGCAAAGAGGUUGAGGUAGCGAAGGCCCUUAGUCAUCAAAAGGACUCCAAAGAAAGGCAAAUGCAGCUUGAGUAUCUACGUAACAAAGGUAACUUUGCUCACAAUACCACUGUUAUUAAUACAGGCACAGGACAGAUGAUUCCACGGAAACUGCCUAAAAAGAACCUAGAUGGCGAGAGCUUAAUGCAUUGCAUAUAUUGCCAAGGACUCUUCCUAAAAAAGACUCUGUGGAGACAUGUGAAGGUUUGCAAAUUCAAGCCAUCUGACGUGAAGCCUAAACCUGGAAAAACCCGUGUGCAGGCUCUUUGUGGCUUUGCACAGCUUCGCCCACCAGGUAUGACUCACGGCCUUUGGAAACUGUUGAAUGCCAUGAACCAAGAUGAAGUGGCACUUGCAGCUAGAAAUGACUGGUGCAUUUUAGAGCUGGGGAAGCAUCUUUACAACAAGCAUGGCUCAAGAGUUAAGAUGCAUGAACAUAUUCGUCAAAAGAUAAGAGAGCUUGGAAGACUCCUAUAUGUGCAAGAGAGGUAAUACACCUUAAAUCUAUUAAAGAGCUCAUCCAUCCCAAAAACUUCAUGCAUACUGUUAAUGCAGUUAAAAGAACAGCUGGAUAUACUGAAGAGACUUCUGGGUAUCAAACAGCUAGUGUCGCUGUGAAACUUGGACACAAAAUCGCAAUGCUUGUUGACAGCCACUCUACCAUGAGUGGAGACAAAGACAAACAGCUUCCAACAACUGUAUCAGUACAGAUGGCCUGAAUACAUUUCCUCAUCAGCCCGGCGAACAUUUGAGGAAGCCAAGUGGAACUCCCCAUCUUUACUCCCAUUCACUGAAGAUGUUAAACGCCUUCAUGUAUAUUUUGACGAGCAAGAGAAAAUUUACUGAAAACUCUUGUCAACCGCCUUCGUCUCAGCAUUGGUCAAAAUUGGCCAAGAUAACAUUAACUCAGAUGAUGCUUUUUAAUCGAAGACGAGAAGGGGGAAGUGUCACAAAUGCCCUUGUCUGCAUACACCUCCAGCAGCCAGUCAUAGGCUCAUCCAGAUAUUAGCAAGGCCCUCUCAGAGUUGGAAAACAAACUGUGUCAGUACUUCAAGCGAAUAGAGAUCUGAGGCAAAAGAGGCAGAAAGGUUCCAGUACUCGUCACUCCUUCAAUGCAAGAGUCAAUCAACCUGCUAAUUACAAACCGGAGUAGGUGUGGAGUACAGAAUGAGAACUCUUUCCUGUUAAAGUAUGUGUGUGUGCGCGAGUUAGACAGUGAUUAACAAAACCAGCAAGUCCCCCCAGCUGUCACUGAAAUCUUACUUGCAAUAAAUCUUUCAGAAUGCUCUUGAUUACAUAUAGAGGCAUACUCUAUGCAUUCGUGAGGGUGGUGGUGCUUAAAUAUGGGUUGUCAACCUGGGACGGGUGAGUAGGCUGGAGGGGGGAAUCUGAGUAUACUCACUACAAAAAACUAGACUACACCACUGCUCAGCUCCCACGCUACCGACGGGGAUUCCCCACUGAGCACUACACUCUCACACAAAUUAUGUUCCAAUGCACAGCACUUAACCACAGAACUUUUCACUUUUAUUCGAAAUACCACUUCCCUCUGAGUGGAUGUGUCAAGAUUAUAGUCUGCAAAUUUUAUAUGUUGCAGGAGCGUAAGCAUCAUUACAAGGUACAAUCCAAAUCAACAGCCAGCGCUAAUUCUUCAAUCAAAGCCAAAGAAUCAAAGGGGGAGCACGAUUGAGAGCAACCGGGCUAAUAGGAGUACGCCCUAACCGAACCUGAAUUUUCCUGUCACGGGGUGCGUGGCGGAAAGAACCCAAUUGCAGGCAGGAACGACGGGGUUAACACAAAACUUUAAUAACAAAUGAAACACCCAUGAGGGGGAAAAACUAAACAGAGGCAAAUACAAUAAAACAAAAACUUCCCACGAGGGGGCAAGACAAAACAAGGUCCAAAUAAUAAGAAUAAUAUAAAUAACGAAUACAAACGCUAGACUGGUAACACGAGCACAGGAACAAGAGCACGGACAUGGAACACGUACAUACACAAUCCAAGAGCACAGGACAAAGAAACAUGAGGGCAUUUUAAAGGCAAGACAAACGAGGGAUAAUGACACAGGGCAGGUGAGGGUAAUGGAACACGCCGGGAAGUAAUACGGGAAACGAGAGGGGCAGGGCCAAUGACAAGACACUGGAGAGAACGCAUAUUAUUGUCAAAAGGACAAUAAUAUGUUUCUCUCCACACAUAACCAAAGACCUUGUCAUGGCUCUGCCUCAGGACCAGGAAAUCCAAGACUAAAAGAAGCAGAACCAUGACAUUUCCGCAAGACCAGAUUCUAAAUACUCAACAACAGAUACUUCUACCACCUGAAUCCACUGGAGGUGGAUCAAAGUUUUUUUUACCACUUUUGAUUACGUGUUCGGUUGAUUUUUCUAUGUUAUUUUGUAUUGCAUGUUUGUUCUAUUAUUUCUGUGUUGCUCUUGUAGUUCUGAAGAGCUGAUAAAUGGAUUUUCAGUUAAUAGAUGAUGUAUACAUUCUGCGGUGAUAAGCAUUGACUUGUUAAAGAUAUAACAGGGUCAUAAAGAUGUUUAAAUAGGGUGUGAUUUUUAGGAGAGGAGGUUCAGUUUGUUGGUACAGGUGUCAGAAAUAAAAAAAACGUAUCUAAAUACUUGUUCAAGAAUUGUUUUGAUAAAGAAAGCUUGUAUUAAGUUGUUAUAAUUACUUAGAUUCAUCUUUUUGGAGUUUUGCCACAGCAAAAUAUGAAUACAAUAGUUAGUACAAUAGCUUUACUGUAGCUCAGUGGUAAGAGCAUGGUGCUAACAACGCCAAGGUUGUGGUUUCAAUCCCAGGGGAUUGCACAUACUCAGAAACAAAUGUGUAGGGUAAUGCGCAUAUACAUUUUGCUCAUGUGAGAGCCAACCCCUUUCUGAAGACACAUAGGGACGUUCUGCCCUGUUCCAAUGUAACUCUUAAAUCUGGACAGAGCAGGUGCUGGGACAGUAAAAUCAGUUCUGAGGCUGCUGAAGCACAAUGACAUCACAGGUGUCACGGACGGUUUUGUGGCUGGAGGCAUCAGCAGUCCGUGAACUAAAGGAUGGCAUCAAUUUCAAGAAAAAUCCAGAGGAUGGCAAAUGUUACAUCAUUUACAAAGAUAUAGAUAAAGCACGGGCAUGUAAAAACCAAUGCAAGCACCAGGGAGGACUUUUCAUUAAAGAUAUCGAGGACUUGUGUGGCAGAACAGUGCGUUGUACUAAACACUACUGGAAACUUGAUGUGUCCACCAUGGAGUAUGUCAACCCUCCUGACAGUUUUCUUCAAGAUGAACUCGGUAAGAAGAACAUGACAGGAACAAAAGAGGGAUGUUUCAUUGUCUAUGUUAACACCAUUAAGAAUUAAUGUGUUUAGCAGCCAAUCAAAAGAACAAGAUACAUGUACAGGAUGUAAUGCUUUCAUGUUGGUUUUCAGACUUAAACAGGUUUAGAACAAAUAAUUACUGAACACAAACACCUGGAUCAGUGCAUGCCUGUGUGAUAAAUCUGAAUAAAUGCUGUAGCUAUAUCCAAACUUAUGUAAUUGUGUAAUUUUAAAUAUAUACUCAAAUAAUAUAUGAAGAGUUUGGCUCCAAAAUGAGGUAACUCCGUUUUUAAAAAAAUUCAAAUAUCAUGUUUUUUUAUUUUGCAUUCCAAUUAAUAUCAAUCAAACUGCAGUUAGUUUGUUUUGAUUUAAAGCGACAACGAGCAACUUCUGCUCACUGU